CAGUAGCCGCGGUAAUACGGAGGGAGCUAGCGUUGUUCGGAAUUACUGGGCGUAAAGCGCGCGUAGGCGGUUACUCAAGUCAGAGGUGAAAGCCCGGGGCUCAACCCCGGAACUGCCUUUGAAACUAGGUGACUAGAAUCUUGGAGAGGUCAGUGGAAUUCCGAGUGUAGAGGUGAAAUUCGUAGAUAUUCGGAAGAACACCAGUGGCGAAGGCGACUGACUGGACAAGUAUUGACGCUGAGGUGCGAAAGCGUGGGGAGCAAACAGGAUUAGAUACCCGUGUAGUCCCUGUCUCUUAUAU
RNAcentral lists this ribosomal RNA (301 nucleotides) under uncultured bacterium. RNAcentral describes it as "partial 16S ribosomal RNA". It matches the Rfam family "Bacterial small subunit ribosomal RNA", at positions 509 to 809 of the family's 1533-position model. The record is from RNAcentral.